GACGAACGCUGGCGGCGUGCUUAACACAUGCAAGUCGAACGGAAAGGCCCUGCUUUUGUGGGGUGCUCGAGUUGCGAACGGGUGAGUAACACGUGAGUAACCUGCCCUUGACUGUGGGAUAACUUCAGGAAACGGUGGCUAAUACCGCAUAGGAGCUCCUGCUGCAUGGUGGUGGUUGGAAAGUUUCGGUGGUUGGGGUUGGACUCGCGGCUUAUCAGCUUGUUGGUGUGGUAGUGGCUUACCAAGGCUUUGACGGGUAGCCGGACUGAGAGGGUGACAGGCCACAUUGGGACUGAGAUGCGGGCAAGAGUGCUACGGGAGGCAGCAGUGGGGGAUAUUGCAAAAUGGGCGGCAGCAUGAUGCAGCGACGCCGCGUGGGGGAUGACGGCCUUCGGGUUGUAACGCGCUUUCGCCUGUGACGAAGCGUGAGUGACGGUAAUGGGUAAAGAAGCACCGGCUAACUACGUG
Molecule: ribosomal RNA, 468 nt
Filed under: uncultured bacterium
Lineage: Bacteria
Description: partial 16S ribosomal RNA
Rfam family: Bacterial small subunit ribosomal RNA
Source: RNAcentral